RNAcentral lists this ribosomal RNA (497 nucleotides) under uncultured bacterium. RNAcentral's name for it is "partial 16S ribosomal RNA". It matches the Rfam family "Bacterial small subunit ribosomal RNA", at positions 28 to 507 of the family's 1533-position model. The record is from RNAcentral.
GAUGAACGCUGGCGGCGUGCCUAAUACAUGCAAGUCGAGCGAACAGACGAGGAGCUUGCUCCUCUGACGUUAGCGGCGGACGGGUGAGUAACACGUGGAUAACCUACCUAUAAGACUGGGAUAACUUCGGGAAACCGGAGCUAAUACCGGAUAAUAUAUUGAACCGCAUGGUUCAAUAGUGAAAGACGGUUUUGCUGUCACUUAUAGAUGGAUCCGCGCCGCAUUAGCUAGUUGGUAAGGUAACGGCUUACCAAGGCAACGAUGCGUAGCCGACCUGAGAGGGUGAUCGGCCACACUGGAACUGAGACACGGUCCAGACUCCUACGGGAGGCAGCAGUAGGGAAUCUUCCGCAAAGGGCGAAAGCUUGACGGAGCAACGCCGCGUGAGAGAUGAAGGUCUUCGGAUCGUAAAACUCUGUUAUUAGGGAAGAACAAAUGUGUAAGUAACUAUGCACGUCUUGACGGUACCUAAUCAGAAAGCCACGGCUAACUACGUG